CCUACGGGAGGCAGCAGUGAGGAAUAUUGGUCAAUGGGCUUACGCCUGAACCAGCCAAGUCGCGUGAGGGAAGACUGCCCUAUGGGUUGUAAACCUCUUUUGUCAGGGAGCAAAAGACGCCACGCGUGGCGUUCCGAGAGUACCCGAAGAAAAAGCAUCGGCUAACUCCGUGCCAGCAGCCGCGGUAAUACGGAGGAUGCGAGCGUUAUCCGGAUUUCUUGGGUUUAAAGGGUGCGCAGGCGGAAGAUCAAGUCAGCGGUAAAAUUGAGAGGCUCAACCUCUUCGAGCCGUUGAAACUGGUUUUCUUGAGUGAGCGAGAAGUAUGCGGAAGGCGUGGUGUAGCGGUGAAAUGCAUAGAUAUCACGCAGAACUCCGAUUGCGAAGGCAGCAUACCGGCGCUCAACUGACGCUCAUGCACGAAAGUGUGGGUAUCGAACAGGAUUAGAUACCCCAGUAGUC
RNAcentral lists this ribosomal RNA (459 nucleotides) under uncultured bacterium. RNAcentral describes it as "partial 16S ribosomal RNA". It matches the Rfam family "Bacterial small subunit ribosomal RNA", at positions 338 to 795 of the family's 1533-position model. The record is from RNAcentral.